Condylostylus longicornis is the source of this 3939-nucleotide RNA transcript. It is a transcript of the gene named broad-complex core protein isoforms 1/2/3/4/5-like, with no coding region annotated. The transcript is spliced from 5 exons. The record is from RefSeq and is a predicted model, not a curated record. NCBI's taxonomy places the organism in Eukaryota, Metazoa, Arthropoda, Insecta, Diptera, Dolichopodidae.
UAAUUUUUUUUUUUCGAAAAUAAAAAGAAAAAAUAAAACAAUUUUUUUCCUUAUAUAUGGAAAAAAAAUCAAAUAAAAGUUUUUUUUCUUUGUCAUUUCUUACAUAUUUCUGUUUUUAUUUCCAUUUUUUUUGUUCUUGUUUUAUAUUUUUUUUCUAUUAUUUUUGCUUUAUUUCGAAAAAGUUUUUCGUACAUAUUCAUUCGUCUUGAUGGUGGAAUUGAACUCUUGUCAGUGUUUAAGCUGAAGCCGUUAAUACAGCAUUUGUUUUUUUUUAUUGUAUUGUCAUUUAUAAAUCGUUUUAUAUUUUAUUAUUAUAGUAUUUUUUAUAUUAAGUUUUUAUUAUAUUAUUAUUUAUUUUUUUGUUCAUAUUUAAAUCAAAAAGAAAUGGAAACACAAAAGAUUGUGUUUUAUUUUUUUUUCAAUACACAAAUAUAAUAUUGAAUAAUAAUAAUGCAAAUGAAAAAUAAAACUAAAUUCAAACAAAAAAUGAAUUAAGGAAUAUAAUUUAAUAGUCAAAUAUUAAGUGACAGCGGCGGCAGGAAUAUUAUUGUGUAAACGACUAAGAAACGAAUAAAAACAUUCAGUCAGGGAGAGCACUGCACUCUUAAAAAUAAUAAAAAAAAAACAAAAUAAUAUAAAAAUAAAAUAGAUAAUUUAAAAAUAAAAAAUUUAUUUUAUAUUGUUGUUAUCUAUAUUUACCUUUUCUAAUAUAUUGCAAUCGCAUAAAAUAUAUUUAAAACUAAAAAAUCAUUAAAAAAAAAUAAUUAGAUAUUUAUAUGUAUGUGUACAAUGUAUUUCUAAAAUAAUUAUAUCUCUUAAUAUAAAAUGAUGUGAAUAAAUUAUAAAACCUAUAUGAAAUUAAAAAUUUUUGUAAUAAAACAUAAAAAUUAUUUUGUUAUACAAUUUCAUACUUAAAAAAAGCUAAAAAUUGAUCAGUGAGUUAUAUUAAUAAAAAAAAUUCAAAUUGUUUCAAACUUAUUCAAUAAAUAAUAUUUUUAAAAAAAUUAAUUUAUUAAUAACAAUAAAGGAAAAAAAAUAAAUAAGAUCAGCCAAAAUAAAAAAAAAAAUAUAUUCAUAAUAAAAAUUCAAAAAUUUGACAGUAGGAAAAAUAGAUGAGGCAAACAAAAAAUUAAAAAAAAAAAUGAAAGAUAGAGAGAGAAAACAAUUAGCGGGAGAAAAAUAAGAAAAUAUUCAUAUUAUAUUUUAAAAAAUUUGAAUUUAAAUUGAACUAGAAUAAUAAUUCAAAUUGAAAUAUUUGGUGUCUCGUUUUAUUUUAUACUUGAUUUAUAUAAAGCAAAAGCAGCACAGCACAAAAUUUAAAAAAAGAAAUAAAAUUCUGCAAGCAAAAAUAUUUUUGAAUAAAAUGAAAUUAAUUAUUUGUAAAAUUUAAACAAGCACGAGAAAAGAAAAACGAAUUAAAUUUUUAAAACUAGAUAAAAAACAUUAUGAAUAAAAUUAAAUAAAAAAAGUGUUAAAAUAAAUAACAAAAACAAGUUUGCCGGCAAGAACUCAAUAAACAAAUUUAAUUAAAUUGAAUUGAAUAAUAUUUAACGAACAUUAAGAAAAUGAAUUCAACUCUGAAUAAUAAAUAAAUAAAUAAAUGUUAGGAUGAUUAUUAUUAAUUGCUUAUUAAUGAGUAUUUUGCUUUAAUUUUUUGCAUAAAAGAAAUUAUAUACUUACCAAUAACAAUUUAAAAGUUUUAUGUAUUUAAGAAAAUGUAUAUAAAAAAAAGUGCAAAAUAAUUAAUUAAAAAAUUUUAAAAUUCAAAGUUAAAAGAAUAUAAACAAAAAAAAAAAUAGGAGAAACAUUUUUUUUUUUUUAAGAGAAAAGAAAAUUAAAUGUACAAGAAAUCAAAUUUGCAAAUAACAAACAAAAAGUAAAAAAUUAUUGUAAAAUAGAAAAUUAAAUAAAUCGUAGGGAAAACGAAAUCAGAAAAAAACUUGCAAUAUAACUCAAACUUUGUUUUAACAAUUUUUAUUCCGAUUUCUCAAAAUAUUGAACUAAAAAAAUAGUAAAAAACAUUAAAAAGGACGAAAGCAUCGGGCUUAAAAAGACAAUCAAAAAAUAAAAAAGCAAAAAAUAACAAAAAUUGAAAAUCAGCUUUUUUUUAUUCUUCUUUAAGUGAAAAUCACUAUUUUAUUUUCUUUUUUAAGUCUAUUUUUUUCUUAAAGAGAAAUAUUUAAUUAUUGUUAUUGCUAUCGUCAGCAGAAAAUAAAAUUAUUAAUUGUAAAAAGUAGAAGCGAACAAAUAGAAAAAAUUAAGUAAAAGCAAGCCGAAAAAAUCGUAAAAAAAAUUGAAUGAGAAAUUAUAGGAAAAAAUUUCUUAUACACAAAUACAUACAGACUAUAUAAAGAGUAUGAAUUCAUUUUUAACAUUUUUAUUAUAAUUAAAAAAAAAUAUUUUUUUUUGUAUAAUUUUUGUGAUAUGUAUAACUUUACGACUGUUUUUUACACAUUUUUUUUACAUUAUACUCUUAAAAUAUUUUUUCUAUUUUCUUAAAUUGUUUUUAAUUUAAUUUUAAUACAAAGAUUUUUAUUUUUUCCAAAGCAAUAUUUUUUUUUCAACCAAUUCAUUUUAGGCAAAAUAGAAAUAAAAAAACAAAAAAAAAUCAUAAGUAAAUAGAGUUGAGAAGAAAGGAGAAAGAAUAUACAUAUUAUAAAUCUUAAUAUUAUUCGGUGAAAUUUGCGCGAUAGUGGCGAUUAAGAAAUAAAGUAGAAGGAGCAUUUAAACAAAUAGCAUAUAACCAAAUAUAAAACAAAAUAAAAAGAAAGCGAAGGGUAUAGAAGAGGGUAAAGCAUAUCAUUGUAGCGAAAUAGAGUUGAGCAAUAAAAAAAAAAGAAAGCUAAUAGAAAUUUGUUCUGCUUGUACUCUUUAUUUCGCUGAAUUUGUUAAAUUUUAUUUAUAAAAAAAUUUUUUUUUUAUUUUUGAUUUGUUUUGUUGUUUUCGAAGACUUUAUUGUUACUAUUUUUAUUGGUGGUAGUAUAAGGAAGGAAAAAAAAAGAUUUUUUUUGUUUGUGGUUCAUCACGUUUGUUGCUUCGAAUUCUCAUCGUCGUCAUCAUUUCAACGGAAAGUUAGAAGAAGACGAAGAAGAAGAAGUACUUUGUUUCUAUUUUAUAUUGAACUAAACAACGUUUCAUAUUCCAAUAAUAAAUAAUAUUAUUGAUCGAGAUUUUGAAUUUAAAUAAAAAAGGAAAAAUAAUAAUUAAUAUUAUUAUUUGCUUAAUAAAAUAUUGCUAGCUACUAGUGUGUAUAUGUUGUUGCUAUACAAAAGAUUUUAAAUUAUUUAUAUUAAUAACUAAAUAAUCAAAAUUUUUCGUAUAAAAUAAAAGAAGGAAACAAAGAAAAAUAAAAAAACAAUCUAAAUAAGGAUAAAUUUCAGGUACGUAUCGAGAUAUAAUAAAAUUUUGAUGACGUAAGCAGUGCUCGAAGUGAGGCGGGAUGGAGUGGGAUGCCAUCCCAGUAUUUUUAAAUAAUUGGAAAUCCAUCCCACUACUUAAUAGGAGAGAAAAAUGCGUUCCGGAACAUGUUUUUUAAAAUUUAAGAAAAUUUUCUAAUGAAUUUUAAAAAUUUUUUUAACAAAAAAUUAAAUAUAUGUAAUUUUAAAUAAGACCAAUUUCAAAUAGUAACGUAUAAUUUUUUUCUAUUAAUGAAAUUUUCGUUACUACAUAGUAGUCUAUGCAUUUCUUUGGUAACAAUUUGCACAGUUUUUGAUUCAAUUUUUAGUUGAUUUAAUUUUGAAUAUAAAUAUUCUCGUUAGUUUACUUCCAAAGUUUUGUAAAUUUUGUUUAGUUAUUUUUUUAAAAAAAUAACUAAAAUAAUACUUUUUUUUUUUUUACAAUCCCACCACUUUGAGCAUCCCACUUCGACCACUGGACGUAAGUAAAAAAAUUCAUAAAAUUUAUUUUUAAAUUCAAAAUGUUUAAUAUUUUUAAAUUCUC